GCUGCGGUGUCCGAGUGGUUAAGGAGAUGGACUUUGAAAUCCAUUGGGCCCUGCCCGCGCAGGUUCGAAUCCUGUCCGCAGCG
This is a non-coding RNA of Ctenocephalides felis (cat flea), 83 nucleotides long. Lineage: Eukaryota; Metazoa; Arthropoda; Insecta; Siphonaptera; Pulicidae. The record is from the annotation of a RefSeq genome assembly.